UGUGGUUUUGUUAGCCCUAGUCUUUACUGCUUGCAGUGUUGCAUCCAAGAUCAUUACAUUUACAUUUACAUUUACAUUUAGUCAUUUAGCAGACGCUUUUAUCCAAAGCGACGUACAAGGGAGAGAACAAUCAAGCUAUGAGCAAUAGAGACCAAUAAAUACAAUUUUACAUAAGAAAUAGAAAAAAAAGUGCAGGAAUGUUAUAUACUGUAAGUGCAAGUUAAGUAGGCUACUAGUAGAAGUGCAAGUUAGGAAGGGAGGUGCUCUCUGAAGAGUUGGGUCUUCAAAAGCUUCUUAAAGGUAGAGAGGGACACCCCUGCUCUGGUCUGUGACUGCUUAGGUUAACUAUAUAUAGGUUCAUUAGUUAAUUUGGGGUAAGUGUGAUAAUGACCAGACAGUUUGUCACUCAUGGUUUGUAAACCAUGUGGCUGUAUCAUUUACAGUACCAUUGACACUGUAGCUAGCUUCUAACCAUUGAGCUACGGUUGGCGAUAAACACUCCCUCCAACCUCUUUUAGUCUCUGCUAUCACUAUUAUAGGGGCUCUCAUUUAACUAUUCACAAAUAGCCAUAUAGCCAACUAUAUGGAAAAUAAUUAGUGGUUGAAAAGUGUUGCCAGGGUAGCAUUGGACAGUCCCUAUGUUGGGGCAAAUCUAAGCAGAGAGUUAAAUGAUUGGAUGCUACAAUCUUUUUUAACCUAUUGUGUGCUAUAUAUAGUUGUCAAUUGAAUGUCAGUAUGUCUAUUAGAAAAAAGAUUCUCAUUAAUGGAUGCUGAAGACUGAUGGGACUGAUUCCUGACGCCAAGGUGAUGCCAUGGUUCUCUUACAGAACUGAUGUAAUAUCCCUUUCUCUUACAGAACUGAUGUAAUAGCCCUUUCUGCUUGUGUAACUGCCUCAUAUCUCCAUGUCAUAAGCUUAUACAUGUUUGUAGCAAGAACAAAACACUGAUGUGUGGAGUUUAGGGAGCAAUAUCCUGUAUGUUUGUGUAGGUAUAUGGUGUAGGUAUGGGCGUGCGGCUGUGUUUUGAGUGUAUGGGCGUGCGGCUGUGUUUAGAGUGUAUGGGUGUGCGGCUGUGUUUUUAGUGUAUGGGUGUGCGGCUGUGUUUUGUGCGCACUGGCAUGGUGACUUUGUCUGUCUAUUUGUGUGUGUGUGUG
This is a long non-coding RNA of Clupea harengus (Atlantic herring), 1153 nucleotides long. The record is from Ensembl. NCBI's taxonomy places the organism in Eukaryota, Metazoa, Chordata, Actinopteri, Clupeiformes, Clupeidae.